CACACACAGUAUUCCACACCCUUACACAGAAACACAUACACUGCACCCCUCAAUGCAGUAUGUGUGUGUGUAUUCAGCAGUCUGUAUGUGUGUGUAUUCAGCAGUCUGUAUGUGUGUGUAUUCAGCAGUCUGUGUGUGUAUUCAGCAGUCUGUGUGUGUAUGUAUUCAGCAGACUGUGUGUGUGAAUGUAUUCAGCAGACUGUGUGUACUCAGCAGUGUGUGUAUUCAGCAUACUGUGUGUAUGUACUCAGCAGUCUUUGUGGGUGUAUUCAGCAGUCUGUGUGU
Pelobates cultripes (western spadefoot toad) is the source of this 285-nucleotide non-coding RNA. Lineage: Eukaryota; Metazoa; Chordata; Amphibia; Anura; Pelobatidae. The record is from the annotation of a GenBank genome assembly.